UACAGAGGUCUCAAGCGUUGUUCGGAUUCAUUGGGCGUAAAGGGUGUGUAGGUGGCGCGCUAAGUCGGGUGUGAAAACCCGGGGCUCAACCCCGGGCGUGCAGUGGAUACGGGCUGGCUGGAGGCAGGCAGGGGAGAACGGAAUUCCUGGUGUAGCGGUGAAAUGCGCAGAUAUCAGGAGGAACACCGGUGGCGAAGGCGGUUCUCUGGGCCUGUUCUGACGCUGAGGAGCGAAAGCGUGGGGAGCGAACAGG
RNAcentral lists this ribosomal RNA (253 nucleotides) under uncultured bacterium. RNAcentral describes it as "partial 16S ribosomal RNA". It matches the Rfam family "Bacterial small subunit ribosomal RNA", at positions 524 to 776 of the family's 1533-position model. The record is from RNAcentral.